CCUACGGGAGGCAGCAGUGGGGAAUAUUGCGCAAUGGGCGAAAGCCUGACGCAGCGACGCCGCGUGAGGGAUGAAGGUCUUCGGAUCGUAAACCUCUGUCAGCAGGGAAGAACGGUCACUGUGCUAAUCAGCAGGGAAUUGACGGUACCUGCAAAGGAAGCACCGGCUAACUCCGUGACAGCAGCCGCGGUAAUACGGAGGGUGCGAGCGUUAACCGGAAUUACUGGGCGUCAAGCGCUCGUAGGCGGUAUGUCAAGCACAGGGUGCAAUCCCCGCGCUCAACGUAGGAACUGCAUUUGAAACUGGCAAACUUGAGGGUGUGAGAGGAUAGUGGAAUUCCGGGUGGAGGAGUGAAAUCCGUAGAUAUCUGGAGGAACAUCAGUGGCGAAGGCGACUAUCUGGCACAUAACUGACGCUGAGGAGCGAAAGCGUGGGUAGCAAACAGGAUUAGAUACCCGAGUAGUC
This 465-nucleotide ribosomal RNA is filed under the name uncultured bacterium. RNAcentral describes it as "partial 16S ribosomal RNA". It matches the Rfam family "Bacterial small subunit ribosomal RNA", at positions 338 to 795 of the family's 1533-position model. The record is from RNAcentral.